This 458-nucleotide long non-coding RNA is filed under the name Androctonus crassicauda. Lineage: Eukaryota; Metazoa; Arthropoda; Arachnida; Scorpiones; Buthidae. The record is from RNAcentral.
UGCUAAUGUAACUGUUGCUACAACUGCUGAAAUAAACUUAACACUCAGAACGAUAUAGUUAAGUUAUAUCUAGCACAUAUAGCUGUUUGUUAGAAUUUUAAGUUUAGAUUUUUUGAUAUUAUUUGAUGAUGACGACAAGAUUUACGUUUAAGCAUCUUAACAACAUUAUUUAGACGUAGCAGGCGUUAUUUAACAACAUGGAGAAAGACGUAGUGAAUCAAGAGGAAAGUGAGCCGGAAGUGGGUAAAAUUAUAUCAGAAAGAGCUUCCCACAUUGAUACACAACUGACAGAGUUAACAGGAGAAUUACAACAUUACGAAACAGUUUCUAAAAUGCGUCUAAAUGCACCGAAAACCAGCAAAAAUCCUGUUAUAAUACAAUAUUGUGAUAUAGUUCAUAUCGGACCAAAAAUCAAUUUUCUUACAGAACAAAAAGCAAACAAUUCAUCUAGCAAGAUU